GAUGAAGAACGCAGCGAAAUGCGAUAAGUAAUGUGAAUUGCAGAAUUCAGUGAAUCAUCGAAUCUUUGAACGCACCUUGCGCCCUUUGGCCAUUCCGAAGGGCAUGCCUGUUUGAGUAUCAUGAACACCUCAACUCUUCAUGGUUUUCCAUGUUGAGCUUGGACUUUGGGGGUCUUGCUGGCCUGUGGGUCGGCUCCUCUCAAAUGAAUCAGCUUGCCGGUUUUUGGUGGGCAUCACAGGUGUGAUAACUAUCUACGCUUGUGGUUUUCCACCAGGGUAACCUUCAGCAGUGGAGGUUCACUGGAGCUUACAAAUGUCUCUCCUCUGUGAGGACAGCCCUUUGAAUGUUUGAUCUCAAAUCAGGUAGGACUACCCGCUGAACUUAAGCAUAUCAAUAAGCGGAGGA
Molecule: unclassified non-coding RNA, 406 nt
Filed under: soil metagenome
Description: partial contains 5.8S ribosomal RNA, internal transcribed spacer 2, and large subunit ribosomal RNA
Rfam family: 5.8S ribosomal RNA (bases 1-121)
Source: RNAcentral